UUCUAUUUGUUCGAAGUUCCUUUAAUUGGGACCAUAAUCCUAAGAGGGUGCGAGACCCGUACGGACUUUAGUUCAGCUGAUAUCUCUGUAACUCGGAGUCGGGUUGCUUGAAAGUGCAGCCUUAAGCCGGUGAUAAACUUCAUCGAAAGCUAAAUAUUGUAAGGAAUGCGAUAGCAAACAAGUACCGUGAGGGAAAGUUGCAAAGAACUUUGAAGAGAGAGUUCAAGAGAACGUGAAAUCCCUGAAGUUGAAGCAGAACGAGUCGAAAUUGUUAAGCAGUGAAGUGGUUUGGUUAUACCGUCCAUGUAGCUGUGGUACUGCGCUGGUUGCGCUGUCCGAGCUCUCCUGACUAGUCAGUGUUGCCCACCCUUGUGGUGGUGUCUUGCUUUCUGGAAUGGUUUGCCGUGUCAGUGUUUAGCUUGCCCUUUGGGUGAGAACCGGUGUUAAUGUCGAUCACCGUUCUGUCCCGUCUUGAAACACGGACCGAGGAGUGUAACUUGUGCGCGAGUCAGAGGGUG
This 518-nucleotide ribosomal RNA is filed under the name Oscheius tipulae. RNAcentral describes it as "partial large subunit ribosomal RNA". It matches the Rfam family "Eukaryotic large subunit ribosomal RNA", at positions 170 to 700 of the family's 3401-position model. Lineage: Eukaryota; Metazoa; Nematoda; Chromadorea; Rhabditida; Rhabditidae. The record is from RNAcentral.